GACAGAGGGUGCAAACGUUGCUCGGAAUCACUGGGCGUAAAGGGCGUGUAGGCGGGAAGGAAAGUCAGAUGUGAAAUCCCCAGGCUCAACCUGGGAACUGCAUUUGAAACUCCCUUUCUUGAGUACCGGAGAGGAAAGUGGAAUUCCUGGUGUAGAGGUGAAAUUCGUAGAUAUCAGGAGGAACACCAGUGGCGAAGGCGGCUUUCUGGACGGUAACUGACGCUGAGACGCGAGAGCGUGGGGAGCAAACAGG
This 253-nucleotide ribosomal RNA is filed under the name uncultured bacterium. RNAcentral's name for it is "partial 16S ribosomal RNA". It matches the Rfam family "Bacterial small subunit ribosomal RNA", at positions 524 to 776 of the family's 1533-position model. The record is from RNAcentral.